RNAcentral lists this transfer RNA (71 nucleotides) under Ictidomys tridecemlineatus (thirteen-lined ground squirrel). Its description in RNAcentral is "Spermophilus tridecemlineatus (thirteen-lined ground squirrel) tRNA". It matches the Rfam family "tRNA". Rfam says of the family: Transfer RNA (tRNA) molecules are approximately 80 nucleotides in length. Their secondary structure includes four short double-helical elements and three loops (D, anti-codon, and T loops). The record is from Rfam by way of RNAcentral. Lineage: Eukaryota; Metazoa; Chordata; Mammalia; Rodentia; Sciuridae.
GGGGAUUUAGCUCAGUUGGUGGGGUGCUUGUCUUGCAGGCACAAGGCUCUGGGUUCAAUUCCUAAUCCCCA